GCCUGCGUUGCACAGUGGUAGUGCGUAGCUUUCCUAUCUGUGAGGUUAUUUAGCCCCAUUUUCAGACAGGCUAAGGUCGUGGGUUCGAUCCCCACCGUGGGUU
Non-coding RNA from Naganishia vaughanmartiniae, 103 nucleotides. Lineage: Eukaryota; Fungi; Basidiomycota; Tremellomycetes; Filobasidiales; Filobasidiaceae. The record is from the annotation of a GenBank genome assembly.